Molecule: ribosomal RNA, 586 nt
Filed under: uncultured bacterium
Lineage: Bacteria
Description: partial 16S ribosomal RNA
Rfam family: Bacterial small subunit ribosomal RNA
Source: RNAcentral
UGGGGAAUUUUGGACAAUGGGCGAAAGCCUGAUCCAGCAAUGCCGCGUGUGUGAAGAAGGCCUUCGGGUUGUAAAGCACUUUUGUCCGGAAAGAAAUCCUUGGCUCUAAUACAGUCGGGGGAUGACGGUACCGGAAGAAUAAGCACCGGCUAACUACGUGCCAGCAGCCGCGGUAAUACGUAGGGUGCAAGCGUUAAUCGGAAUUACUGGGCGUAAAGCGUGCGCAGGCGGUUUGCUAAGACCGACGUGAAAUCCCCGGGCUCAACCUGGGAACUGCAUUGGUGACUGGCAGGCUAGAGUAUGGCAGAGGGGGGUAGAAUUCCACGUGUAGCAGUGAAAUGCGUAGAGAUGUGGAGGAAUACCGAUGGCGAAGGCAGCCCCCUGGGCCAAUACUGACGCUCAUGCACGAAAGCGUGGGGAGCAAACAGGAUUAGAUACCCUGGUAGUCCACGCCCUAAAACGAUGUCAACUAGUUGUUGGGGAUUCAUUUCCUUAGUAACGUAGCUAACGCGUGAAGUUGACCGCCUGGGGAGUACGGUCGCAAGAUUAAAACUCAAAGGAAUUGACGGGGUCAUAGCUGUUUCCU